Lactuca sativa (garden lettuce) is the source of this 1645-nucleotide non-coding RNA. Lineage: Eukaryota; Viridiplantae; Streptophyta; Magnoliopsida; Asterales; Asteraceae. The record is from RefSeq and is a predicted model, not a curated record.
UCUUCCUGAUCAAUUAAUGAAGACAGAUCAUUGCAAUCAAUAAUUUCUUUCUUCCCCAUUUCAUUUAUGAUAACAUGGUAUCAGAGCAAAAGUGAUUCAUUCUUUUGUUCUUGAUUUUUUUCUUCGAAUUUGCUCUCUGCUUUUGUUUGAUUUCUUCAUCUUCAAUGGCUAAAACAGGAUUCAAUUCAGCUAUUGAUCAUUCAAGUCCCUAUUUCAUAGGUUCUUCUAAUCAUCCAAUUUUUUUGCUUGUUAACACUCCAUUUGAUGGAAAUGGAUUCAAUUCGUGGAAACGAUCUGUAAUCAUCUCUCUAUCAGCGAAGAACAAGUUAGGGUUCGUUGAUGGCACUAUUUCGAAGUCGCUCACUACUUCAACCAAUUAUCCAAAUUGGUACUGGGUCAACUGUAUUGUGAUUAGCUGGCUUGUAAAUUCACUGUCGAAAAACAUCGCUAAAAGAAUUUUGUUCUUACAAACUGCUUCUGAAAUCUGGAAUGAGCUGAAUCAACGCUAUGAGCAGUCCAAUGGAGAUCUUAUUUAUCAAAUUCAACAAUAAAUCUUCUCUAUAUCUCAGGGAUCUGAAAAUUUCUCAUCAUAUUUCACUAAGCUGACAAAAGUUUGGGAUGAACUUCGACUUGUUCGUAAAUUUCCUCCAUGCUCAUGUGAAUCUGUUGCUGCUAUUCAUAAAUUUCUUGAAGAACAACACCUAAUCCAACUUUUGAGGGGAUUAAAUGAUAGCUACAAGAUUCUUCAUGGCCAGAUCUUGAUGAUGAAGCCUCUUCCUAAUGUUUUAACUGCUUAUUCCUUAAUCAUUCAAGAAGAACAGCAAAGAUGUAUCAAUAAUCAUUCUCAGAUCAAUCUUGAUUCCAUAGCUAUGCAUGUUUCAUCAGAUGUUCAACAUACCAAGAAACAAUUAGUUUGUAAUCACUGUAAGAAGAAUGGCCAUACGAAGUCUCAGUGUUACAUAUUAAUUAUAUUUCCUUCUAACUUCAAGUUUACAAAGACAAAGAAGGAAGAAUCUAAAUCCAUGGCUCAAAAUGUUACUGUUAAGCCUGAUAUUGGAAUUACUGAAGUUAAAUACAAUCAUCUUCUUCAUUUGCUUAAUGCUAGCUACAUUGCUUCUUCUUCCACAAGUCAAGUGAAUAAUUCAGUGAAAAUCGAUGCUAUGGAGAAAGAAGGUAAAAAGUUUUCUUUAAACAUUUUGCAUCAAAUGUUUACAAGUCAUCCAAUAUGCUAAAAUGUCAUUUGUCAUGGAUUGUUGAUACUAGUGCAACUGAUCAUAUGUGUUCUAAUAAAGAACUUUUUUCUACAUUUCACAAAUUACAUCAGUGUCACAUGAUUGGAUUUCCUGAUGGACAUGAUACUUCAGUUGAAUUCUAUGGAGAUGUUCAAAUCCAUGAUUCUAUUGUUCUUCAUCAAGUGUUGACCCUUUGAUGAAGAGUAAAAUUGCAGUUGGAAUCUUAGGGAAUCGCAUCAAUGAUCUAUAUGUUUUUCAUCAUCAUUCAAUUAAGUCUAAUUUGUCUUUUAGUAUGUCUGUGUUCAAACAAUUUGAUUAUUCGAAUAAAUGUAAAUCCAUUUCUGAUGUAAUGGUUUGGCAUAAUCGUUUUGGACAUACAUCAAUUGAAACUCUCAAGAAUCUUUCACUUGUUA